Sceloporus undulatus (fence lizard) is the source of this 309-nucleotide long non-coding RNA. RefSeq lists it as uncharacterized. NCBI's taxonomy places the organism in Eukaryota, Metazoa, Chordata, Lepidosauria, Squamata, Phrynosomatidae. The transcript has 3 exons. The record is from RefSeq and is a predicted model, not a curated record.
UGGAAUCUUGUCAGUUAGUCCCCAAAAGAGCAAGCCUUUGAAUAAAAUGGUGAAUGAUGAAUCAACACACAGAGGAGUAAGCACAAAAAGAAAAUAAAAUCUCCUUGCACACUUUGGGUGAUUACUCCACAGUCAGCAGCUAGGGAAUUCUGGGAAUUGCUGACCAAGAUUCCCAAAGUCUACCCCUCUUUGGACUGCAAAUUAGCAUUAAAAGGUUGUAGCUUUGCCAACCAUCCAUUUAUUUUUCCUGCUUGGAUCAUUUGAAGAUAUUUGCAAUGCAAGUGAGAAAGCCCUGUGCUAUGCAUGGAG